RNAcentral lists this transfer RNA (73 nucleotides) under Stegodyphus mimosarum. It matches the Rfam family "tRNA". From Rfam's summary of the family: Transfer RNA (tRNA) molecules are approximately 80 nucleotides in length. Their secondary structure includes four short double-helical elements and three loops (D, anti-codon, and T loops). The record is from Rfam by way of RNAcentral. Lineage: Eukaryota; Metazoa; Arthropoda; Arachnida; Araneae; Eresidae.
GCCUUCGUGGUGAAAUGGUUAGCACACUCGGCGCGUAUUCGAGAGACGCGAGGUUCGAGUCCCGGCGAGGACA